RNAcentral lists this ribosomal RNA (484 nucleotides) under uncultured bacterium. RNAcentral's name for it is "partial 16S ribosomal RNA". It matches the Rfam family "Bacterial small subunit ribosomal RNA", at positions 30 to 507 of the family's 1533-position model. The record is from RNAcentral.
AUUGAACGCUGGCGGCAGGCCUAACACAUGCAAGUCGAGCGGAUGAAGGGAGCUUGCUCCUGGAUUCAGCGGCGGACGGGUGAGUAAUGCCUAGGAAUCUGCCUGGUAGUGGGGGAUAACGUCCGGAAACGGGCGCUAAUACCGCAUACGUCCUGAGGGAGCAAGUGGGGGAUCUUCGGACCUCACGCUAUCAGAUGAGCCUAGGUCGGAUUAGCUAGUUGGUGGGGUAAAGGCCUACCAAGGCGACGAUCCGUAACUGGUCUGAGAGGAUGAUCAGUCACACUGGAACUUAGACACGGUCCAGACUCCUACGGGAGGCAGCAGUGGGGAAUAUUGGACAAUGGGCGAAAGCCUGAUCCAGCCAUGCCGCGUGUGUGAAGAAGGUCUUCGGAUUGUAAAGCACUUUAAGUUGGGAGGAAGGGCAGUAAGUUAAUACCUUGCUGUUUUGACGUUACCAACAGAAUAAGCACCGGCUAACUUCGUG